AGAAUGGUGGUAUUUGUUCAAGAUGG
Molecule: non-coding RNA, 26 nt
Filed under: Homo sapiens (human)
Lineage: Eukaryota; Metazoa; Chordata; Mammalia; Primates; Hominidae
Source: RNAcentral